CCUACGGGAGGCAGCAGUGGGGAAUAUUGGGCAAUGGACGCAAGCCUGACCCAGCAACGCCGCGUGAAGGAAGAAGGCUUUCGGGUUGUAAACUUCUUUUGACAGGGACGAGUAGGAGACUGUACCUGUCGAAUAAGCCACGUCUAACUACGUGCCAGCAGCCGCUGUAAUACGUAGGGGGCAAGCGUUGGCCGGAUUUACUGGGUGUAAAGGGCGUGUAGGCGGGUGGACAAGUCAGAUGUGAAAUCCUGCGGCUUAACCGCGGAACUGCAUUUGAAACUGUUGCUCUUGAGUACUGGAGAGGCAGGCGGAAUGCCUGGUGUAGCGGUGAAAUGCGUAGAUAUUAGGAGGAACACCAGUGGCGAAGGCGGUCUGCUGGACAGCAACUGACGGUGAGGCGCGAAAGCGUGGGGAGCAAACAGGAUUAGAUACCCCAGUAGUC
This 442-nucleotide ribosomal RNA is filed under the name uncultured bacterium. RNAcentral describes it as "partial 16S ribosomal RNA". It matches the Rfam family "Bacterial small subunit ribosomal RNA", at positions 338 to 795 of the family's 1533-position model. The record is from RNAcentral.